UGGGCUGGCCGGGCGAUCGCGUCGCACUCCUUCAGGAGGACGUCGAGGAAAGUCCGGGCUCCACAGGGCAGGGUGGUGGCUAACAGCCACCCGGGGUGACCCGCGGGACAGUGCCACAGAGAACAAACCGCCUCUCCUCGGAGAGGUAAGGGUGAAACGGUGGUGUAAGAGACCACCAGCGGACUGGGUGACCAGGCCGGCUAGGUAAACCCCACUUGGAGCAAGAUCAAGAAGUUCGGAGCCCUCGGGCAUCGGAUGCGCGCACGUUCGAGGGCUGCCCGCCCGAGUGCGCGGGUAGAUCGCUGGAGGCCGUCGGUAACGGUGGUCCGAGAUGGAUGGUCGCCCCUCUUCGGAGGACAGAACCCGGCUUACAGGUCAGCCCGUCCG
RNAcentral lists this RNase P RNA (387 nucleotides) under Nocardioides sp. Root1257. RNAcentral describes it as "Bacterial RNase P class A". It matches the Rfam family "Bacterial RNase P class A". Rfam says of the family: Ribonuclease P (RNase P) is a ubiquitous endoribonuclease, found in archaea, bacteria and eukarya as well as chloroplasts and mitochondria. Its best characterised activity is the generation of mature 5'-ends of tRNAs by cleaving the 5'-leader elements of precursor-tRNAs. Cellular RNase Ps are ribonucleoproteins. Lineage: Bacteria; Bacillati; Actinomycetota; Actinomycetes; Propionibacteriales; Nocardioidaceae. The record is from Rfam by way of RNAcentral. RNAcentral also lists the same sequence under 1 other name.